Molecule: RNA transcript, 1955 nt
Organism: Glycine soja
Lineage: Eukaryota; Viridiplantae; Streptophyta; Magnoliopsida; Fabales; Fabaceae
Gene name: transmembrane E3 ubiquitin-protein ligase FLY1-like
Exons: 5
Source: RefSeq, a predicted model, not a curated record
GGCGGUCUUAUUAUAAUGAUCGUCUUUGAAUAAUUAAAAAAAAAAUUGUGCUCGUUCAUAUUUCACAAACAUAUUUUGCGUCCGUUCCGCAUCUUUCUUCUCUCCUCUUCCAUUUUCCCAAUCUAAUAUCCAAAGCUCUCCACCUCCUCCAGCAUCUCCUCUUCCCUUUUCAUAAACAAAUUAUGCGGCUCGCGGAUGAACGCAAGCUCCUCAUGGUCCACAUGCCAGCCACGAGACAGCCAGUUGUGUGGCGGCACAAGGCGAAAAAGGAAAAAAGCAAAAUCACUUCGCAAUCGAUUACGGUUUUAACGCCAUCGUUGCCGCCGCGAACGGGUCGAAGCUCACGAUUCUGAAGUCCCCGACGGGCCGCGAGAUCGAGGCCCACUAUGAGUUGGGCCGCGAACUGGACCACAGCGAGUUCGGGAUAACCUACCUCUGUACGAACAAGGAGUUGGGGAUUUCAUAUGGUUGCCGCUGAAAGAUUGAAGCUUUUUUGUGUAAGAGGAAGAGGGGGGCUUAGAAUUUUGUUGUGGGUUGCAUUUUGGUGGUGCGUGAUUCUACUGUUGGUUAAUCCAGUGGCAGGUCUCAGACCCUUGAGAGAAAGGACUGGGUCUUGGAAUGAUGAGGGGCUAUUUACAAGAAAGGAGGAGAGCAACUUAGGUCCAUUUUCACAAUGGAACAUAACAGGAACUUACAAAGAGCAUAACAAAGGCAAAGGGACAGAGCAUAAUGAUCAAAUACAUAUGAUCAGAUGCAGAUGCAGAAAAGUUCAUAGUGUAUAGACGGCAGCAGAAGCUUAUUCAGCCCCUUCUACUGUUCUAACAUCACAUUCACAUGAUGGACUUCAUGUUUUUGACGAUUUUAGAGAGACUUAUGCUUGGCUGAGUCAUAAUACAGAAAAAGAUGAUAAAGUGAUAAAGUUUAUCCUGAGAGUAUUUUCAAGGAAGACUCUUAUGUCCAGUCUGCAGUUACAGUUAAUGGUAGUCCUGAAAGACUGUGGAAAUCAAAGUUGUCUGUUUCAGAUUUUGACAAGUCUGAGUCUUCUACCAAAUUGCCCAAGGGAGUAAAGGAAAACACAUUGAUGGCAAAACUCCUUGAAGCAAGAUUAGAGGCACAAAAAUCUUGCUCUAGAACUUGCAAAAGCACUUUUGGAUCAACUAGAGAAGCUUAUAAUGAGAAUAUCAAAUAGUUGCAAUGGGUAUCAAUGUAGGAUCUUUCAUGAAAUUCUAGUAACCAUUUUGUACACAUGAAUCUUUUAGCUAUGUACAUGGUUGGAUGAAAAUGAAAGUUGUAUCCAUUAUGUAAAAGAUGUUUUAAGUCAUUAUGCCCACCAAGCGUUGGGUGGUACUAGUGGUCUGGGAUACAUAGAAUUGACCUUAUUUUCAAAUAUCCUUCUAGUUAUAGCAAGCAAUAUUUUUUAAAGGCCACAUUUCAAUCCACUUCUUGUGACCUCAAGCUAGCUUCAUAUUUGCAUCUACAAUUUGCAUUUUCUAAGGAAGCAAGGAAUAUUUGUUUUGUGUGUGUAUAUAUGUAUAUUUUUCAGAAUAAUCUUUUGAUGAAUACCUAGUUCUUGAUGCAAUCAAAAUAGCAAAUUAUGUUUACUAAGGAAGAUAGAUCAGUAACUAAAUAAUCCUAUUUAAGUGAGAAAUGUCAUACUUGCAGUCCAAGCAAUGCAGCUAUAACACCCCCAAGCGAAUGCCCAACUAUGCAGACAUUAUACCCAAAGCAUUCACAACCAAAUCCCAGUAAUUUAGAAAGAAGUCCAUAGGAUUCCGAGUCUGCAUUUCCACUUUGAAAAACAAUUGUUGUAAAAAAAGAAGUUUAUGUAAUGAAGUCAAAUGUUUUUAAAUUAAAUACAAUUUAAGAUUUAUUUUGGGAAUUGAUAAAAAGUAAGAUGGUUUACUUAAUUAUAUAACCAUUCAAUGGUGACUAUUUCACUUUACAAUAACCAAAGU